GACCCGUCUUGAAACACGGACCAAGAAGUCUAUCUUGCGCGCAAGUCAAUGGGAGUAGCAAACCCAAAGGCGAAGAUAACACAACUGCGUUAAGUCGUUGCGGGAUUACGGGUGCACCACAGUCCGCAAGGAUUGGCUAGCUGUGCCGCCCCUCCAUCCCCGGGUGUUUAGCUGCGGUUCUGUAAUGUCGCGGACCCCCCGCCGGGGUGGGCAUUUGCAGUUCCAACGCGACAUACCGCGAGCGCGUAGGAUGUGACCCGAAAGAUGGUGAACUAUGCCUGAUCAGGUUGAAGUCAGGGGAAACCCUGAUGGAGGACCGAAGCAAUUCUGACGUGCAAAUCGAUUGUCAGAGUUGGGCAUAGGGGCGAAAGACCAAUCGAACCAUCUAGUAGCUGGUUCCUUCCGA
Molecule: ribosomal RNA, 406 nt
Filed under: Anopheles anthropophagus
Lineage: Eukaryota; Metazoa; Arthropoda; Insecta; Diptera; Culicidae
Also listed under: 1 other name
Description: eukaryotic LSU rRNA
Rfam family: Eukaryotic large subunit ribosomal RNA
Source: RNAcentral